UAUUCCGUUUGUUCAACAGGGAGACAGUGGAUGACAUCCCAACCACCCUACCUCGACAGCUAACCCCACGUCGACAGAAUGGAAGACAACUGGAAAGAAGGUUUUGGAAGCAACUAAAGAGACGAAGAAGUGGGGCUAAUGCAGUUAUAUCAUCUCCACCCCAGGUUGCAGCUUGAACUGCUACAUCAGUCCCAAAGUUCCAUCAUUUCUCACUAUGCUUUUACUGCUCAGUCUGAUGCAGCAUGUUCAUUAAACAUAUUAAAAAAUGAAAACAAUUCAGAUGUCAUUACUUCCCAAUAGAUGUCAUAAAUAUAUAGUUUAUGUUAAACACUGAAAAAACAUUAUUAUGGUGUCACCCCAUGUUCCAAAUUUUAGAUCUUCUUAACAUGGAAAUGGAGAAGUAACAGAUGAUAUAAUUGAAGUGUUGUUACUCAUCAAAAGAAGACCUGUUCAAUAUUAAUGAUGAAGUGACUCGGAAGAUUUCAAAGGAGAGCAGGCCUAGAUAUUGCUGUAAGUUACACCAGUUACUGCGGAUUCAACUGACAUUGAAGUAGAAACCUGUGAUGGAUGACUUUCUAAAGCAUAGAAAGUAUUAUGGAGGAAAAAGGUAAUUGUACAUUGUAUGUAUUCAGUGGGCAGGUUAUGUUAGGUAUCUGCCUAAUACUGCAGUAAAUGUUGUAACUUUGACACCUAAGUCCCAAUAAGUGCGGUACAAAAUAUUUCAAAGGAAACUGAAUCAUGUAAGUGCCAAAGUUACUGCAUAACUACAAAAUGCUUUUGACGAAAUGACAAACGUAGGGAUGGCAUAAUAAAAAGUGAGAUAAAUUUUCAACAUUAAAUUUUAUACUAAAAAUGUAAUUAUACAUGUCAUAAUUCUUUUCUUUGUAUUACCUUUUUUUGGAACAUGAAUUCAAUGUUCAUUUGUACUGUUUAUUCCCUUUGUUGAAUACUUAUUACAGCUAUUAAAUUCCAGGUAUGGAUCUAAAAUUAAAAAGCUACGAACUAAUGUUAAUUAACUAAUUGCACAUUCAUUGGCAAUUUUAUUUACCGAUGAAUACUUCAGAGAAUACCAAAUAUUAAAUGAGCAUGUGUACAAAACACUAUUUUUACCAUUUUGAAGCCUAUUUUCAGAUUGGCUCUUUAUUUAUCCUUUAUCAUUUGUGCAUCACACUGUCCAGCACAUUCCAACUGGGUGUGUGUUACCCUAGCAUGGCCCUAAAACAUCCCUCUAGAGUAAUUUUUUAGUUCACUGUACUUUCGUUCACUGCAUUCCAUAAUAUUUUCCAGCUGUAAUUUAUUCAUAAUUAUCAGCUAUAAAAGUUCCAGUCACAUGGUCAUGAUAUUGACACACAUUCAAGGUCUUGCCAGUAGCAUCUAAAUGCAAGUCAUAAGGAAUACCAAAAAAAUGCCAACAUUUCUGUCACAUGUUUGUAAAUUUGUUAGUGGUGAGAGGAUGAUUAUGUUCAAUGGGUGGUAGAACAGAGCACUAAUAGAAGUUUUAAAUACAGAAACUAACCUUCAUUAUGUAUUUUCAGUUUGCUGCAUCAAGUGUUUAUAGUUUGCCGGCACCGACAUGAAGACGAGGUAGCAGUUGUAGGAAGGGGGGAAGGGAGGGGAGAGCAAGGCCAGACUAUUUUUUGAAGUUCUGAAUACAGACACUGACAUACAUUUUCUACUUGUGCUAGUGGAAACCAGUAGAAUAUUGUAUUUCCAUCAACAGGAAGUUAUGUUGUCACAAUGGCAUGAAUUUUGAGAAAUAAAAUAAGAACUGCACGAGCUAAUUUUGGAGACUGGCUCUGAUGAAUCAAUCUCAUCUGAUAUGGAAAGUGACUUUCAUAAAGACACUGUGGCAGCUGGUGAGAGCAGUAAUGUAGCAAAGUCUGAAUAUUUGGUAAUGACAGUAACAAAUCAAAAUUGAGUCUACCUUUCUCCUCUCUAAUAAGAUGGAAAGGUGUACUCUUUGGAGUACACUGACAUUCCAGAAGUGUUCUUCACAUAGAUCAUUGAACAAUGUGUUUUGAUAAUGUUCUUGUGGCAUUGUUGCACUCUUUUAAUCAAAGGUCAGUAUUCCUCUACAGUGUGUUCCAGCAAUGACCUGUUCCCAUUGUUGUGCAAUGUUUUAGGCCACUGUUGCAUUGUGGUUCAGUAAUAUUGUUGCACAAUGUGCUCCAAUGAUCUUUCCUCCCAUUUAUGUGCAACAGUGCAUUCCAACAAUGAAACAAUGCCUCUCAUUACUGUGCAACAGUGAACCUGUUCAUGUAGGUUGCUCAUCAGGUGUUCUUCACUCACAUCAGAGCAUGAUGAACACCUAAAAAUGUCAAGAUUUAAAUACUGAAAACUAAAAUUAUGCCGGUUAUUUGCUACGGGGGUUAAACUUUGUCACACAUUAAGGGAACAGAUUGAGGGGUACUGAGAGAAGUCCUUGGACCUUAGAUAUAGCAAGUGACAGGAGGCUGGAAAAAAUGUUGAGAAGCUUCAUGAUUUUUCACCAGGUAUCAGAGGAACAGGAUGGAUGGUACAUCUGUGUGUAGAUAAACUGUCAUAUUAAAAUGGGUCUUGGAAAAGCAGGGUGGAACAAUCAGGAACAUAAUCUUCUGGCUCAGGAUAGGGACAAGUGGCAGUAUUUUGUGAAUAUGGUAAUGAACAGUGAAAUUUCAGGUUCUUGUUGGUAUAAGUAUGAAGUCUUCUGGAAUGUUGCUCCAUAUAGUCUGGUAGAAAUGCACCAAUGUUUCAGAGGUACUUACUGGCUCAGUCAUCAGGGUGAUGAGUCUGGAUGAUGGAGGUAGUAAGCACCUCCAAAAUAUCAGGUAGGGAAAUUCUCGACUAACUCUGGGACUUUUAAUUUCUCAAGGACUCUGCUCCAUGGAGUUAUGAGGCUUAAUUUCGUACAUUAUACUAAAAUAUUAAGAAAGUAUUUAGGAAUACCUUAUCUGAUCAGUACAGAACAUGAGAUAUGUAAAUUUUGAACAAACUGCCAACCCUAGUUAAUUCAAACAAAAACUGUUGCUGAAUUUGCCAUUGUUACUAAUCCGUGCCUGUUAAUGCCAUCACAUGUUCUUACAAAGUUCCUUUGUAUUCACAACAUGUAUUUCUGCCUGCUAUACCAUCUCUCUACACAUUUUUAUAUAAAGAUGUGUUUGCAACUUUUAUUUUUUAAAAUGCGGUGCCAAAAGUUGAUCAUGUCGUGAAACACAUAUAAGAACAAAAUAAUUACUAUUACUGUUCAUCACAUACAAAUACAGUACCACACUGUCAGUGUGCUACAUGACAUGGAAAUGUUUGUUCUUGUUAUAAAUUAUGUACAUAAAUCUAGAUCAUACAAUAAAUAAGUUGUGCACGUU
Non-coding RNA from Zootermopsis nevadensis, 3341 nucleotides. The record is from RefSeq and is a predicted model, not a curated record. NCBI's taxonomy places the organism in Eukaryota, Metazoa, Arthropoda, Insecta, Blattodea, Termopsidae.